RNAcentral lists this transfer RNA (73 nucleotides) under Pseudopediastrum boryanum. Its description in RNAcentral is "tRNA-Ala". It matches the Rfam family "tRNA". From Rfam's summary of the family: Transfer RNA (tRNA) molecules are approximately 80 nucleotides in length. Their secondary structure includes four short double-helical elements and three loops (D, anti-codon, and T loops). Lineage: Eukaryota; Viridiplantae; Chlorophyta; Chlorophyceae; Sphaeropleales; Hydrodictyaceae. The record is from RNAcentral. RNAcentral also lists the same sequence under 1 other name.
GGGGAUAUAGCUCAGUUGGUAGAGCGUCUGCCUUGCACGCAGAAAGUCAGGAGUUCGAAUCUCCUUAUCUCCA